GCUGAAUGUGGCAAAGUAUGAGAUGAUUCUGUUCCAUUUCCAAAAACUCCAGCAUUCAAGAACCUGAAGAAAAUAAAUCAUAAUAUUCAUCAACAUCACAUUUUUAACUAAAAUUCUACUAACAUGUAUCAUGAGCACAAAUUUGAUUAUAAAAAAAAAUACUGAUUUAUAAUAUUUUUAUAUGUGACACUAUAAAAUACAUAUCUGACAAGAGAUGGCACAUGGGAACUAACAUUACAUCUUAAAAAGUUGAACAAUCUGUCUCAUAUAUUUUUGUGAUGAAAACACAAGAUACUAUAGUUUUAUUUAUUCAAAAUAAAGAUUUCUUACUAGAAUUAUUUAUUCACAUAUAAAUGAAGAAAACCAAUUUGAAAAAAAUUACUUACUAACGUCCAAGUUGAUAAAAAAACAAAAAUUGAAGGAAGUAAAAUGACUAAAAUCUCCCUCACCUACCACCCAGUCACUAACUUUUCCCAAACCCCACAUGCACAAAUCAAUAGGGUGGUUCAACUUGUAUAAUUAAAUACAUAGCUUUCAAUAAUCAAAUUUUACUAUGAUAAUUCGAAAUUAAAUAAAUAAAUUGCUAUUUAUUAAAAAAGAAUUUUUACGCUAUCAAAUCAAAUAAUUGUAGUAAACUUAACACUACUAUUAGAUCACAUGAAGAAAAACUAUAGAUAUAUAUCAUAAUUGACAUAACAAACUAUAAAUACGAAAAAAAUAUAAAAAUUCUUUACGUUAUCGAGUGUAUAUAUAUAUAAAAAAAAAAUUUACCUG
This 774-nucleotide long non-coding RNA is filed under the name Solanum lycopersicum (tomato). Its description in RNAcentral is "partial TCONS_00147104". Lineage: Eukaryota; Viridiplantae; Streptophyta; Magnoliopsida; Solanales; Solanaceae. The record is from RNAcentral.